GCCUGGCUGGCUUAGUGGGUAGAACAUGUGACUCUUGAUCUUGGGGUUGUGAGUUCAAGCCCCACGUUGGGUG
RNAcentral lists this transfer RNA (73 nucleotides) under Canis lupus familiaris (dog). It matches the Rfam family "tRNA". Rfam says of the family: Transfer RNA (tRNA) molecules are approximately 80 nucleotides in length. Their secondary structure includes four short double-helical elements and three loops (D, anti-codon, and T loops). Further hydrogen bonds mediate the characteristic L-shaped molecular structure. tRNAs have two regions of fundamental functional importance: the anti-codon, which is responsible for specific mRNA codon recognition, and the 3' end, to which the tRNAs corresponding amino acid is attached (by aminoacyl-tRNA synthetases). tRNAs cope with the degeneracy of the genetic code in two manners: having more than one tRNA (with a specific anti-codon) for a particular amino acid; and 'wobble' base-pairing, i.e. permitting non-standard base-pairing at the 3rd anti-codon position. The record is from Rfam by way of RNAcentral. Lineage: Eukaryota; Metazoa; Chordata; Mammalia; Carnivora; Canidae. RNAcentral also lists the same sequence under 1 other name.